AGGGGUGGCUUUCAUUUCUAGGAUCAUCCACCGAUCAUUCCUAGGCCUGCAGAGAUCCAGGACUGGGAAUGAAAGAGACCACGGCCUAACUGGUCCCCAGGGCUGGCUGGGGGAUCCUCAGUCAUGGCUCAGGUGACCAUGAGACCAUCCCAGGAACAGGCCCUGGCUUCUCCUCCAGAAGCAGCUCCAGGACAGACAUGUGUUCUCUUAGGUGGAUUAGUCUGAGCUGAGGUACCUUCCUCACAGCAUGUAUCAAGUAUCGUGUAGCAAGUCAAGUGUCAAGGCAACACAUGCUCAUUCAUUCAGUCAACACCUGUUAUGUGCCGGGCACCAUGCUUGGCUCUGCAGGUUAGCCGUGAAUGAUGCAAACAAAGGCCUGCUCUGGUGGAGUUUACAGACGAGAAGGGGAAGACACAACAAAACCAUAAACAAAUCAGUAUAGAACCUAACCGAGUCAAUGGUGACAGGAAGAAAGAUGAAGGGAGAUAAGGGGAGGGUGGUUGGAGUGGAAAGGUAAGCUAGUUCUGUACCUGCGGUGGGGAAAUCUCUGGAGAGAAGAGGCCUGAGGGAAAGGAAUGGGACUGGCAGAUCUAGGGGGAGGGAACAGCAGGUACGAUAUUCUGUGGCCAGAAGGAGGAGCUUGAGGCAUGACAAGGACGUCAGCAUGGCUCUGUGUUGGGAAGGAGAGUGUGGCAGCAGGUGGGGGUGCAAAAGAAGGCAGGGCUGCAUCUCUGCAGCCCACAGAAUCCCAGUUUUUCUAUGUCUGACAGGAGGCCACGGACUGAUUUGGGAGACACAUGGAGCACGGGAUUUGAAAGCUGCCAACUAUCAGAAAAGUGGACCAGGAGGAUUCGAUCCUGGAAUGGAGACAGGUGUGAGGAAAAAGAGGAGGCAAGAAGCCAAGAAGGAAAACGCUAGGGGGGAGGGCAACUCUCCCACCUGCAGUAUCUGCAUCUGA
RNAcentral lists this long non-coding RNA (958 nucleotides) under Canis lupus familiaris (dog). RNAcentral's name for it is "lncRNA (ENSCAFG00845003900.1)". The record is from RNAcentral. Lineage: Eukaryota; Metazoa; Chordata; Mammalia; Carnivora; Canidae.